Molecule: ribosomal RNA, 472 nt
Filed under: uncultured bacterium
Lineage: Bacteria
Description: partial 16S ribosomal RNA
Rfam family: Bacterial small subunit ribosomal RNA
Source: RNAcentral
GACGAACGCUGGCGGCGUGCUUAACACAUGCAAGUCGAACGCUGAAGCUUGGUGCUUGCACUGGGUGGAUGAGUGGCGAACGGGUGAGUAAUACGUGAGUCACCUGCCCUUUACUCUGGGAUAAGCCUGUGAAACUGGGUCUACUACUGGAUAUGACAUGCCACUGCAUGGUGGUGUGUGUAAUGGGUUUUUGUGGUUUUGGAUGAGCUGAUGGCCUAUCAGCUUGUUGGUGGGGUAAUGGCCUACCAAGGCGACGACGGGUAGCCGGCCUGAGAGGGUGGACGGCCACACUGGGACUGAGACACGGCCCAGACUCCUACGGGAGGCAGCAGUGGGGAAUAUUGCACAAUGGGCGGAAGCCGGAUGCGGAGACGCCGCGUGAGGGAUGACGGCCUUCGGGUUGUAAACCGCUUUCAGCAAGGAAGAAGCGGGAGUGACGGUACGUGCAGAAGAAGCGCCGGCUAACUACGUG